RNAcentral lists this ribosomal RNA (1554 nucleotides) under Triticum aestivum (bread wheat). RNAcentral describes it as "partial small subunit ribosomal RNA". The record is from RNAcentral. Lineage: Eukaryota; Viridiplantae; Streptophyta; Magnoliopsida; Poales; Poaceae.
AUGUCGACCGGUGGUGCAGAGUCUGCGGCGGCGGAGGCGAUGGCCUCGGAGGCGUACCUGGCGGGCGCCGCUGUGUGGGAGGCGCGCGAGCUGGUGGCGGAGCUCUGCCGCCAUUUCUACCUGCAGGGGUGGGUCACCGGCACCGGCGGCAGCAUCACCGUCAAGGCCAACGACCCCGCCGUGCCCCUCGCGCAGCAGCUCAUCGUCAUGUCCCCGUCCGGCGUGCAGAAGGAGAGGAUGGUGGCAGAGGACAUGUACGUGAUGUCAGCAGAGGGCAAGGUGAUAUCUGCACCAGUAGCAAAGCCAUGGCCAUACAAGCAUCCAAAGUGUUCAGACUGUGCACCUCUGUUCAUGAAGUCCUAUCUAAUGCGAGGAGCUGGAGCUGUGAUUCAUAGCCAUGGCAUGGAGACUUGCAUGGCCACGAUGCUCAAUCCUGGUGCAAAGGAGUUCAGGAUAUCACAUAUGGAGAUGAUUAAAGGAAUCAAAGGUCAUGGGUACACCGAUGAAUUGGUGAUUCCCAUAAUUGAAAAUACUCCUUAUGAGUAUGAGCUCACAGACUCUCUAGCUGAAGCGAUCGCAGCAUACCCUAAGGCAACUGCUGUCCUGGUACGGAAUCAUGGAAUUUAUGUGUGGGGUGACUCCUGGAUCAAUGCCAAGACACAGGCUGAAUGCUAUCAUUAUCUUCUUGAUGCUGCCAUCAAGAUGUAUCAGUUAGGGAUUGACUGGACAACUCCUGAGCAUGGUCCAAUAAACAGUGCCAAAAGAUUGCGUAGUGUUGCAAGUCCUGGGGUUCCUAAUGGAUGUCAUACAGCCAAAUCAUCAAAGCAUUGUGUUGUACUUGACAUCGAAGGAACAACAACACCAAUAUCAUUUGUGACUGAUGUUAUGUUUCCUUAUGCCCGUGAUAAUGUGCGGAAGCAUCUGACUUCUACAUACGAUUCCGAGGAAACCAAAGAAGACAUCAAACUUUUACGCAUCCAAGUUGAAGAAGACCUGAAAAUCGGAGUUGUUGGGGCUGCUCCAGUUGCACCGGAUGAUGCUGGCAAAGAAGAGGUUAUCAGUUCUUUAGUCGCUAAUGUUGAAGCAAUGAUCAAAGCAGACCGGAAGAUUACAUCAUUGAAACAACUUCAGGGACAUAUAUGGAGGACUGGGUUUGAAAGGAAAGAACUGCAAGGAGUUGUUUUUGAGGAUGUUCCCGAGGCACUGAAGAACUGGCAAUCUCAGGGUAUGAAGGUUUACAUAUACUCCAGUGGCAGUAGAGAGGCACAGAGGCUACUAUUUGGACAUACAUCUUAUGGUGAUCUGCGGCAAUUUCUGUGUGGUUUUUUCGACACCACAACCGGAAACAAAAGAGAAGCAAGGAGUUAUUUUGAGAUCUCGCAAUCACUUGGGGUGGACAAUCCGUCUCAAAUCUUAUUCAUCACAGAUGUGUUGCAAGAAGCCGUUGCUGCAAAGAGUGCAGGUUUCGAGGUAAUAAUCUCCAUUCGCCCGGGGAACGCACCGCUUCCUGCGAAUCAUGGUUUCCGCACUAUCAGUUCCUUCAGUGAGAUCUGA